UGGAGGCCCGAGGCAGAAUCUCACAGCACAAGCAGGAAAUAGGAGGGCCAGCAUCUGUGACUGUAGACGCUCCCGGGCACAGGCUGCGCUGACUGGCACCUUCUCUCCUGCCUGCAAUUCUGAGCCCGCCUCCUCUUCCCUACAGCUGUGGUCACUUCUACAGUUUCCAGUGGCUACGGCGGUGGCACCAACAUCGGAGGUGGAAGCCUGGGUCUUGGCGGGAACAGUGGCUACUCCUUCACGACCACUGGUGGGCACAGCCUGGGUACAGGUCUGGGAGGCUCUGGCUUUACCACCAGUAGCAGCCGGGGCCCAGUGGGCAGUGGCUCCAGCAUCAAGUUUGUCUCCAGCACGUCAUCCAGCAGGAAGAGUUACAAGCACUGAGGUGGUCAGCCGGCAGUCCCCCUUGCCACUGCUCCGAAGCCUCUCAUACAUUUAUAACUGGAUGUCUGGGCCCUUGUCCUGUAUCCUCUUCAUAGUAGCCACCUCCCCAGCUGCCAGGGAUCCUGGCAUCCCGGCUGAACCCAUUCCCUGGCCUAUGGCAGCCUCCCGACAGCCCUAGGCUGCUCCUGGUACUUCUUUGUGUUAGACACAUAGACCCAAAGCUCGCACCCCUCCAAAGUUCACAAUCAGUGGAUCUGCCAGAGCCGGACAUCUGCAAACGCCUCUUCAGUGCCACCGGCCCCUUUCCUCCAGGUGCAGCAGCACUGGAGGAGUCCGUGUCUCCCAGUCCACCUCAACACCAGGCUGUCUUGUCCCUCUCUGGCUGCUUACACACUGCCAGCUGGAGUCAAAGCUCCUCUGUUUCCUCCUGGAAUGCGCCUAUUAAAUCCAUGUGUCAUGUGUUUGGCUCA
RNAcentral lists this long non-coding RNA (854 nucleotides) under Rattus norvegicus (Norway rat). RNAcentral describes it as "long non-coding RNA NONRATT027341". Lineage: Eukaryota; Metazoa; Chordata; Mammalia; Rodentia; Muridae. The record is from RNAcentral.